AACGAACGCUGGCGGCAUGCCUAACACAUGCAAGUCGAACGAAACCUUCGGGUCUAGUGGCGCACGGGUGCGUAACGCGUGGGAACCUGCCCUUAGGUUCGGAAUAACUCCCCGAAAGGGGUGCUAAUACCGGAUAAUGUCUUCGGACCAAAGAUUUAUCGCCUUUGGGUGGGCCCGCGUUGGAUUAGCUAGUUGGUAGGGUAAAAGCCUACCAAGGCGACGAUCCAUAGCUGGUCUGAGAGGAUGAUCAGCCACACUGGGACUGAGACACGGCCCAGACUCCGACGGGAGGCAGCAGUGGGGAAUAUUGGACAAUGGGCGAAAGCCUGAUCCAGCAAUGCCGCGUGAGUGAUGAAGGCCUUAGGGUUGUAAAGCUCUUUUACCCGGGAUGAUAAUGACAGUACCGGGAGAAUAAGCUCCGGCUAACUACGUG
Molecule: ribosomal RNA, 433 nt
Filed under: uncultured bacterium
Lineage: Bacteria
Description: partial 16S ribosomal RNA
Rfam family: Bacterial small subunit ribosomal RNA
Source: RNAcentral